UGUCCCACCCCAUUCUCCUCCUCCAGGUGGGCUACCAGAUUCACAGGAAGUCAUAUAUUGCUGAAGAGCUCUGGAUCCACUUCUUCCAUUGCCAAGUCCAGCAGGUAAUCAAAGCAGAGCUUCUAGUCCUGCUCCGACUCCUGUCUUAACCAGAAGACACCAAGAAACAGAGGGCCUGCCAAUCCCUUUGCUGAUUUUCCUUAUCCCAGUACUCUGGCUGUCCUCCUGGCAUUUGAUGUGGUAAGAGGGACUUCCUGGCUGGCAUUUCCUGUGUGACCGACCCAUGGGGAGUGGUGGGAGACAUGGCCAUGUGAGAGGAACAACCUGAGUACAGUGGUCAGAAUGGAUUUCUGUGUUGGCAAGCAUAUUUUGGAAGGAAGAGAAGUGCUAUUACCUUAUCAGCAAAUCAUUCCCACAGGCAUUUUAUUCACCUGCUGCAGAAGACAAAGUGAGCUAUGGGGAAAGCUGCUGAGGUGGUGGUGAACCAAAGCUGAGAGCUUCAUACAGUGAGUGUGUUCUGUCUGGCAUCUGCAUCAUGUUUGGUGCAGUUGUAGGACCCUUUGAAACCCAGCAUCUUAUUUUUCUGACACUUGGAAAAAAUAGAUCCUGAAGGAGGGACAACAAGCAAACUGAAUCAAAACAUACUUUCCCAAAAUACGCAUAAAUUUUCUCUUCCAGUAAGAAAAUACCCAAAGGACGUUGGAUCUCAGCAAUGAAUCCAAGUCUUAAGAAGCAGGAUGCAUAAAACAAACAAGGCUGCCAAGGUCAGCCACAUGCUUCUGGUGCCUUCAUCCUUGGAGGAAAUUCUGGGGCCACCAGGAAAUUCCAUGUUCCCGUGACAUUUCAGAAACAUAUCAGAAGGAGGGGAGCAAGGACCUUUGCCCUUGGUCUUGCUUGGAUGGACGAGUGCCACCAGUCUGCUGUCUCCGGAGCUGAACAGGCAAAUUUAGUAUUUAUGCUAAACUACCAGCAGUUUGGAUAAGCAGCAUGUUCCCUGGCAGUGAGCUGAAGAUACACCACUGGUGCUACAUGCCUUGUCCUGGUUGCUCUUGCAAUUACUCUUCUGAAAGGGGUUGAAGUGCAACACUUCUCAGUGGGAGAUCCUGGACUGGCAAGAUGCAUUAGCUUGGUGAAGCUGGGACCACAAGCAGUGCUUCCUCCUUCCCUCCUCCUCCCUGACUUCACUAAAACCAGCCUUUCAACCCUUGAGGAGAGGUUUGGGUUAGCAGCACUCUCCUUCUCCUCUCCUGCUGGCUGAUCUUGUGCUGUUGUGGCCACGUGGCUCCACUUCAUGGCUUGGAGUGUCAGAAGUGACUUCUUUGGGGGUCCUCCCUGAACUCAUGUUACUGGUGGACAACAAAUUGAUGUUCACCAACUAGAUCUUGGAUUUUGGACUAAACUUGAAUGGUUUAUCUCAAGUUUUAAUCAAGCUCUGAUUUGUUCCUACAAACUCUCACUUCUAGAUUUC
Long non-coding RNA from Neopelma chrysocephalum (saffron-crested tyrant-manakin), 1468 nucleotides. RefSeq lists it as uncharacterized. The transcript is spliced from 6 exons. The record is from RefSeq and is a predicted model, not a curated record. NCBI's taxonomy places the organism in Eukaryota, Metazoa, Chordata, Aves, Passeriformes, Pipridae.